AGUCCCACAGGUUAACCCCACAGCUUUUCCAGCCUAGCUGUGCCCGGUCUCCCCUGUCUAUGAUGGCCCUGGGCCAGGGCUCCAAGAUGGGGGCAGCCGGGCUCUAUCUCUCCUGCUUGGCAACUGUCUUGCUGGCUGUAUGUGCUGCCACUGAGUCCUGGCUCCGGCUCUGGGUCCUGGGCAUCGUCAUUCACCGCGGGCUGUGGCAGGAGUGUCAGCUGGGGACCUGCACCCCCCUCCAGGGCCAGCGAGCAUAUGUGGGAGUGUCGAGGGGAUGCCUGGUUCCAGCCGUCCUGACCUCGUACCUCUCCGUGCUGUGUGGGGCCCUGGCACUCACUCCCUGCCCAGCCCCCAAGGGGCUUGAUUGGGCCCGGGGGGCUGCUGCCCUCUGCUUUCUCACAGGUGCCUUGGCCACGCUGGCUCUGGGCAGUUUCAUGGUUGGCUCAGCCAGGGAAGCGGGUGG
Non-coding RNA from Pelodiscus sinensis (Chinese soft-shelled turtle), 463 nucleotides. Lineage: Eukaryota; Metazoa; Chordata; Testudines; Trionychidae. The record is from RefSeq and is a predicted model, not a curated record.